Molecule: transfer-messenger RNA, 377 nt
Filed under: Candidatus Rhabdochlamydiaceae
Lineage: Bacteria; Pseudomonadati; Chlamydiota; Chlamydiia; Parachlamydiales
Also listed under: 1 other name
Description: JABEVM01 sp013041585 Standard tmRNA
Rfam family: transfer-messenger RNA
About the family: Bacterial tmRNA, also known as 10Sa RNA or SsrA, is named for its dual tRNA and mRNA-like properties. Its role is to liberate the mRNA from a stalled ribosome. To accomplish this part of the tmRNA is used as a reading frame that ends in a translation stop signal.
Source: RNAcentral
GGGGGUGUAAAGGUUUCGACUUUGAAACGUACUCUCGAUGGCAUGCGGAGGACGUCGGUUGGCCUCCUUAAUCAUCCGAUAAAAACAUAAAUGCAGAUGACUCUAUGGAGCUUCUACAGGCUGCUUAAGACCUAACAGUUUUAAGUGACCCGAUAGCCUAAUACCUGACCAGGAGUGUUAGAACUAUCGUCAUCGACCCUGGUGUGAAUCUCCGUUUUACUUCUUAUACGGGGAAUUCGAGAUCGAAAGAAGAAAGCUGUUCUCUAGUGUGGCACCUUUCAGCAGGAACAUCUUUUCAAUAAACAAAGGUGCUAAGCAUGUAGUCGUUGAUGGGAAAUUUGCUAAGGACGAGGGUUCGAUUCCCUCCACCUCCAAAA